UGGGAGAAUCUGUAAAGCUCAGGAGGGAUAGCACCUUGAUACUGAUGAUGCUAUACAUGUUCAUAGCAGUAUAUACUUGGCGCUAUCUAUCUUGAGCUUCAUGGCUUCUUCUU
Molecule: microRNA precursor, 113 nt
Filed under: Phaseolus vulgaris (common bean)
Lineage: Eukaryota; Viridiplantae; Streptophyta; Magnoliopsida; Fabales; Fabaceae
Description: pre miRNA MIR390
Rfam family: MIR390 microRNA precursor family
Source: Rfam by way of RNAcentral